AAUUUUAUAACAAAAAAUGAAUCGAGUAAAAAAUACCAAAAAGACAAACAUAAUGUUGGUUUUCAAACCAGCUCAUGAGAAGACAUUACAAACCAAAUAAAUUCAAAGAACAAAUAUUUUUUUUAAUAAAUCAUAUAACCCAAGGCUAUCUAAAUCAUAUAACCCGAGCCAUCAAUCUGUAAAUUGAGAAACAGUACAUCAGCUCAAAGACCUAACUCUUCUGUUGUCUUUUUUCCUUCUUAAUCAUAAAUAAAUAAAGCUUCUUCUCUGGAUAAGAAGAUUCCUCGCUGAUACUUA
Molecule: long non-coding RNA, 297 nt
Filed under: Brassica napus (rape)
Lineage: Eukaryota; Viridiplantae; Streptophyta; Magnoliopsida; Brassicales; Brassicaceae
Description: long non-coding RNA (BNAP_LNC019743)
Source: RNAcentral